AUGGCGCAGUGUCUCCGGGGCAAGGGCGGCGCCGCCGCCGUCGGGGAGGCGCUCCGCAAGGCGGCCCCGUGGCAGCGGGCGGCCUCGGCGUCGUACCACCACACGAUCCAGGCGGUGCCGCGGGAGACGGCCGGCCCGCGCGCGGCGGCGCGCGAGCGCCGCAACGGCAACGUUCCGGCCGUGCUGCUCACCCUGGCCGGCGCCGGGCCCGGAGAAGGGGUCGCCCACCGGAAGCUCCUCACCACCGACAAGAAGCAGCUCGCGGAGAUGCUGAAGCAGUCGCCGUACUUCCUCUCCACCCCGGUCCGCCUCCAGGUCCGCGCCGGCGAGCGGUCCACCGCCGUCGUGCACUCGGGCACCGUACUCCCAAUCAAGGUGCAGACAGAUGAAUCCACAGGGAAUAUAUUGAACUUGGUGAUGGUGGAAGCAGAUGAAGGAACAAUGCUGAAGGUGAAUUUGCCCGUAGUGUUCAAAGGGGAGGAUGUCUGCCCUGGGUUAAAGAAAGGUGGCUUCUUGCAGAAAAUCAGGACCAGCUUGGUGUAUCUCUGCCCGGCGGAGCACAUCCCUCCAAAAAUCGAGGUGGACCUGACAAAUGUUGACAUUGGGGAUAGAGUGUUAAUGCAGGACAUCCCUGUCCAUCCAUCGCUCAAGUUACUGAGUAAAAACGAGACGAUGCCCGUCUGCAAGGUCCUGUCCUCCAAGCCAGCCGAGUAG
RNAcentral lists this ribosomal RNA (714 nucleotides) under Triticum aestivum (bread wheat). Its description in RNAcentral is "partial small subunit ribosomal RNA". The record is from RNAcentral. Lineage: Eukaryota; Viridiplantae; Streptophyta; Magnoliopsida; Poales; Poaceae.